RNAcentral lists this ribosomal RNA (497 nucleotides) under uncultured bacterium. Its description in RNAcentral is "partial 16S ribosomal RNA". It matches the Rfam family "Bacterial small subunit ribosomal RNA", at positions 28 to 507 of the family's 1533-position model. The record is from RNAcentral.
GAUGAACGCUGGCGGCGUGCCUAAUACAUGCAAGUCGAGCGAACAGACGAGGAGCUUGCUCCUCUGACGUUAGCGGCGGACGGGUGAGUAACACGUGGAUAACCUACCUAUAAGACUGGGAUAACUUCGGGAAACCGGAGCUAAUACCGGAUAAUAUUUUGAACCGCAUGGUUCAAAAGUGAAAGACGGUUUUGCUGUCACUUAUAGAUGGAUCCGCGCUGCAUUAGCUAGUUGGUAAGGUAACGGCUUACCAAGGCAACGAUGCAUAGCCGACCUGAGAGGGUGAUCGGCCACACUGGAACUGAGACACGGUCCAGACUCCUACGGGAGGCAGCAGUAGGGAAUCUUCCGCAAUGGGCGAAAGCCUGACGGAGCAACGCCGCGUGAGUGAUGAAGGUCUUCGGAUCGUAAAACUCUGUUAUUAGGGAAGAACAUAUGUGUAAGUAACUGUGCACAUCUUGACGGUACCUAAUCAGAAAGCCACGGCUAACUACGUG